GCUGGGCUCCCGGCCUUUCUCAUCUCAAUGGUUUGUGCUUGGUGCUCUUGUGAUGAAAUCAGGCAUAGGAGGAAAUGAGGACUGGAAAAGAGUAAGGUUUCACCAAAGGACCACUUGGGGGAAACCUGUGCUCUGACUCUUGUUUCCACGUGUGUGUUUCAGAUGGAAGAAUUGAGUCGAGUGUAAAAUCUCAAAAGAUCUGUGGUUUACUUGAGUGGUGUCUUCUUGGUCAUUUUUAUGGUUGCAAUUUGACUUAAGCAGGAGUUCAGUUGGUGAAGGUGGAUGAUUGAUGGAAGCAAAGGAGGCUGUGCCAACUGGUCCUUUACAAAGUGCAUUUUCAAAGCUAAGAAUAGCAAUAGAUGCUAAUCUUCAACUCUGAAAGGCAUUAAUAAGCACAGCAAGUUUAAAAGUGCUCCUGCAGGUCUAAUAAAGUGGGAAAGUUCUAACUGCCUGCAAACUUGGAGGAAUUUAUUAGACCGAUUCUACAAGUAGGAAUUAUAAUGAGUCAAAUUUCAAGUAAGUGUGAUUUCAGUCUCUUUGUGGAUGACACAGACAACAACCAUUCUCUCUGUGUCUUAUAAAUUGUGACUGUGUGUGUGUGUGUGUGUGUGUGUGUGUGUGUGUGUGUGUGUGGUGUAUACCUGUAAAAUGCAAGGUGAUUGAAUCUAUAUUCUUUGCUUUGAAAGGCACUGGACUGUGGUUGUAUUCAUAUUGCUUUAGGUAAGUGCCCAGAGUUUGUGUUUAUGAGUGAUCAGUGUUCUCCCUGUGUUGCAUUCUCGUCUUUGAGAGGAUCCAGUACAAGUUGGAAAAAAGCUGUCAGUAAAAUUGGCCUUUAGUUCAUACCGUGUUGUCAGAAUGGCCUAAUGGUCCUGAGGUACAGGAAUGCUGAGAAAUCUGUCCACAUCUUUUGCAUUACAAUGCAACAUCCCCAGGCAGUGCUGAGACUGAACAGCCUCCCAGUACCUAGUGACUGAUUUCUAUCUUACAUAAACACAUGCAGCUUAGUAAAUCAGUAAAUCAGCAGGGUAAAUUUCAAACAGGAAGCCAGCCAGCAUUGGCAGUGACAGUCUUUUCCCUGUCGUUUGAAAAACAAGAGAACAUAUACUGGAAACAGACCAGAAACUAAACUGCCAGAUUUUUUAUUCCCCUGGGCCAAUGUUAUGACUCUGCAGAAGGUGCUUGUACCCACACCUAAAGUUCUGGAUUAGAACUCCAGGUUCCAAAUGGUGGAAAGGAGAGAAUUGAUUCUGAAAGCUGUUCUCUGACCUCCACAUGUGUGCUAUAGUAUGUGUGUGCCUUAUUCCAAAGGAAUAAAGAAACAUAAUAAAGAAACAAAAAUCACCCCCCUUUCCAUGAACCUUCAGGUGGUUUGAUUUUCAGAAGACUUGUUCAUUUCAGUAGAGGAUGAAAUAUAGAUGUCUAUCUAGACAUUUGUGAGGACAUGUCUAUAGGACUUGAGUGAGCAGCACAUGCUGUGAUCUGGCUACAUGGAUGUUAUGUAGAGUACAGCUAGAGAUGUUUGGGGCCAAGGGCUCUCCCAGCUUAAGCAAAUCUUGUGUGGCAGACUUAUGAAAAAGGAAUGCUCACGUGAUCUGGAGCUUGCUGUAUUUGUGCUUACAUUUAACAGAACCUUGGCAGGGCGAGUGGGCUGUUGAUAUGUAUGCAGACUUCAGCUUUAUCUUAAGGUACACUAGGAUUUCAUCAAUGAACAGUUAUUACCAAAAGAGGUAGAGAAAGUAACAAAAUAAUGAUAGUUGUAGACUUAUUAUAAACAAAUCAGAAUAGACUGUGUUCCCGUGAAUAGAAGCCACGGGCUAUGAUAAGAAAGAAAAUGAGACAAGUGUAAUGUGAUGUGUGAUUUUCAUUUGUUGUCUAGAAUACUAUCAAAUCAGGUGGGUUAUGUUUUGUUUAUUUCUUUGCUUUGGGUGUGCAUGCAUGCAUGCAUGUAUGCUUGUGUGUUUAGUUUCAGUGUAAGUACAUACAGACCAGCAGAGAUUGCUGCAUUUUGUGGCUUACUGAACUUCAGUUGCUUGUAGUUUGGUGUGAUACAGAAAUGGUUUGUUUUUUCUGCUUUCUACUUUCAUAUAGUGGCAGAAUGCAUAGAAGGCUGUAAUUUUCAAAUUCCCAAGCAUACAAAUCCUGUUCCCAUCAAAGACUGAAACAGAACAUAUCCCAUUUUUGUCCUUAUCCAAACUGUAUGCUGUUUUGUUGAGUUUCCCAAUAGUGACUUAAGGGUAGAGCUGGAUGCAACCAUGCCACCAUGGUUCUUAUGAAGUGUAUUUAUUUCUACUUCUACAAAAAUAAUGUGCUUAUUUUGAUAUAGCGCAUAUUAAUUUACAGAUAAUGGUAUAGAUCCUUGGCUUGUCUUAAGUUUCUGUGGCUGUAAAUGCUGACUCAGUCCACCAUUACUAAACAGUUUUGUUCUCACCCCAUUCUGUAAGCUGUGGGAGUAAAUGCAUUAAUUAUCACAUGUAUAUUUUUGUGCUAAUGUAUUAAUAACAUUAAGAUGAGAAAAUCAUGAACCCAAAUAAUUAGAGAUUGAAAUCUUGGGAUAACACUCAUUUCUGAAUUCCAGAAAUAUCAUCCUACUUGUAGUACCCCAUUGGCAUCCAAAACAACCCAAAGGUGCCAGACUUACCAAGUGACAUGGAAUGCAGAUGGAGAUUGCAGAGGCCCACUGGGCACAAACUGAUGGAAAGGCCAGUCUUCCUGGGGGAUGGGUUGUGCUUUGCACAUGUAGAUAUUGUUGAGCUCAGAAGGAGCUCAGAAUGAGAUCGUUGUUUCCUAGAUAUGGUUAUAAAUGUAUGUGUUUAAUUAAUCUUUACACGUGUGAUUUGAAAAUGCCAGAGAAAUUGUGCACUUUUAAAAAGAUCUGAUAAGAGAAGAGUCUAUGUAUGAAGAAGACACCAGAGACUAAAGCUGGGAUCUUAAAACAGGUAGGGAUAGGAAGGAAAAGGGGUUUUCAAUGGCCCUAAGAAAGUGUUCAGUUAGCAAGGCCUUGUGUUGUUCUAUUUAGCUUCAGAACCAUCCUCGAGUGAAACUGUUCUUUAAAACUUCCAACACUGAUAGAUUGCCAUUAUAGUACACAUUGGGUCUAAUGAGUAGAGGCUCUUUCUCAAAAAAGAGGCAUGGUCUGAACGUGUCAGUUGGUAUUGCUGCUGUCCAUGUUAUUGGUAUAAAUUAUUCCGAAUUAUAAGGAGCCCAUAAACCUUCCAAAGGAAGCUGUUUUAUGCACCUUAGUUUGGGAGCAUUAAACUUUCUUUAUUAAGACAUUAAAAUUAAAUUCAAAUAUCUACUAAAGUUAGCUUAUGUGCCACAGGGAAAAUGGGAACUUUGCUAUAGAAUACAAGGGAACAUGGUAUUUUACAGAGAUUUUUAUAAUGGGUUGACACAUUCAUUCAACAAACGCAUAAAUGACUCCUUUGUGCUAGGUAUCACAUUUGGAAAGCAGGUGUGAACAGAGCAAAGCUCUCUGCUUUCCCAGGGCUUGUGCUCCAGAGGGAGAUGAUGGACAUCGUAACUGUGAGUGCUUUGAGCAUGAGUUAUUUCAGAUAACGAAGAGCCCAGAGUCAAGAUAGAAAACCCAAAGAAAGAGGAAGGAGGGAGUGCUAUUGAGUCCUGAAGACACAGGCACAUGAAAGGAUGACAGAUCAAAGACCUUCUUGAGGUACUAAAACGGUAAUCGUGCAACACUGAGAGGCAGUGAGCUGUUUUCUUCUUCAUGCACAAUUCACUGAUGAGCCUUGGUGAGAAUAUGGAAUGUUAUGUGCCUGGACCGGGUGUACUGUGGUGCUGUGCGACCUGGUUGAAUUCUCUAUGCAUACACUCUUUGUAUAGAUCUAAGUCCUUUACUGUUUAUGUGUAUAUGUGUGUGAAUAUAUGCACAUGAGUGCAGGUGCCUAUAGAAGUCAGAAGAAGGCUUUGAGUAACCUAAAGCUAAGGUGAGAGGUGGUGGGGAGCCACCCACUGUGAGUGCUGAGAAGUGAACUUGGAUCUGCAAGAGCGGCAAGCCCUAUUAUCCAUCAAGCCAUCUCUCCAGCCCCUCUACAUGUUUAAUGUAUAUUAAAGAAUGGGACUAGGGAGAUAAGUAGGUAUGUAAAGUGCUUGCUGUGGAAGGAGUGGGACCUGAGUUCUAUCCCCAGUACUCAUGUAAAAGCCAGGGAUGCCAACAUGUGCCUGCCAUCCUUCCUCAGUAGGGAUAAACACAGCUAGAUCCUGAGGGAUCGAUACUAUUUAAUGUAGCCAAACAGAAGGAAGGUAUCCGAAAUUCAACCUCCAGUCUUCACAUGUGUCUGCCAAAACACAGCAACACAUGCAUGUCACACACACACACACACACACACACACACACACACACACACACACACAGGUAAACAUGCUCAUACAAUUAGGGAAGUCUGCACAGCAAAGCAAAUAUUCAUUUGACUAGAGGGCCUUGGAGGUCUCUGCUGUGUUAACUUAUAGCAGGGUACAUUUUAUUUGUAUUUUUUAAAGAUAAAAUUAUAUGUGAAAUAAAUGAAUCCAUGGCUUUUUUUCAUCCCCGUUGGGUCCUUUCAGUAGGUCCCUGCCCUUCAUUUACCAAUUGGUACUGAAAGUGUAGUAAUUAAAAAACACAGUAAUACACUGUUGUGGGGUCAAACACAUAUCUAAGUCCCUGCAAUACCAGUGUCCCAUCCUUAGCUCCACAAGAGAAUGUAAUAUAACUGGAUAUAUCAGUAGCUGUGAAAAAAAAUCCACGCUGAAUGGGAAGUUAUAGGAAAAUAGUGUUUUUUCAUUUGUUUUGUCUUUAGCAUAUAGCUCCAGGAGAGGGGCAUUCCAUCUUGGUAGACAGGGAAUGACAAUUCUGGAAGCAGAGAGGUCACAUUUCAUGCACACACAGGAAGCAAAGGAAGAAAAAAAAAUGAGACCACUCUUUAAAACUGAAAUGCCCUUACUCAGGGAUGGACUUUCUCCAGCAAGGCUCCUUCCUCUGAAGAUUCCAGAACUUCCCCCAAUGAACUGGAGAGGUAGUGUUACAUAGGUGAGCCUAGGGGAGAUUUCUCAUUUAAACCACCAGAGGGAGCUUCUUCAAGGAUCUGCUUAUGAGGGCUCUGAGGAUGCAGUAAGAUCCAUUAAGGUCUUUUACAGCCUUAUCCUCAUGUCUAACCACAGCCUCGUUUAAACAAACUCUGCCUUGCUCUUUAAUUUAUUGAAUUUUACAUCUUCAUACAAGCAUAUCUGAUACGUUAGUGUGUUUCCUCCUAGACCCCACCCUUCUGAUUCUUGUUCCUCUUUCCCCCAUCACUCCCCUCUGUCACCUUGACAACUCCACAUCUGUUCAUCAUUUACAAACACUCAUGUGUAAUUUUACACAUCUGUAGAAAACCUUCUUCCUCGAAGUCAUAUGACAUAAAAAUGAGGUGAUAUCCAGGGAUACAGGACCUCAGAAAACAGUGGCCUUUCUAUUGUUCUUACUGCAUUUUGCUUUUUGUAGUAUGAUAUGCAUAUGCAAUCAUUCUUAAUAAAACGUAUGAUGUAAAACUUAUAAUCGUAUUUCUUAUAUACAAUUACUGUUAAAAGUUGGGUGUGUGCCUUUAUAAUGCUUAUAAAUUUUCAGAAACAGACUAUGUGUCUAAUACACACAAGCUUGUGUUAUGACUUGAUUUUUUUAAAAAAAAUGGUUGACCUAUAAAUGGUAUUUUGUAAUCUAUUUUCUUUGCUCAAUAUUUUGUUAAUAAGUUUCGAUGCCAAUAAAUAUUCUCUAAACAAA
Mus musculus (house mouse) is the source of this 5749-nucleotide long non-coding RNA. RefSeq annotates it as predicted gene, 38837. The transcript is spliced from 2 exons. The record is from RefSeq and is a predicted model, not a curated record. Lineage: Eukaryota; Metazoa; Chordata; Mammalia; Rodentia; Muridae.